CAGGUGGGUGCAGCCUUGUACCAGCGGCCCAACCUACACCUAAGUAAAUUCCCAGGGAGGUCCCCCUGGGAUUUGGAUUUGCAGUAAUAGGUGUGGGCACUCUAGCAGCAGUUUGAUGAUCAUGUAUGAUACUGCAAAAAGAG
RNAcentral lists this non-coding RNA (143 nucleotides) under Castor canadensis (American beaver). RNAcentral describes it as "Small Cajal body specific RNA 16 (ENSCCNG00000025627.1)". It matches the Rfam family "Small Cajal body specific RNA 16", at positions 41 to 187 of the family's 187-position model. From Rfam's summary of the family: scaRNAs are a specific class of small nuclear RNAs which localise to the Cajal bodies and guide the modification of RNA polymerase II transcribed spliceosomal RNAs U1, U2, U4, U5 and U12. ACA47 belongs to the H/ACA box class of guide RNAs as it has the predicted hairpin-hinge-hairpin-tail structure, the conserved H/ACA-box motifs and is found associated with GAR1. The record is from RNAcentral. Lineage: Eukaryota; Metazoa; Chordata; Mammalia; Rodentia; Castoridae.